This 2059-nucleotide ribosomal RNA is filed under the name Foraminifera environmental sample. RNAcentral's name for it is "partial Eukaryotic large subunit ribosomal RNA". It matches the Rfam family "Eukaryotic large subunit ribosomal RNA", at positions 1 to 1961 of the family's 3401-position model. Lineage: Eukaryota; Foraminifera. The record is from RNAcentral.
ACAUCAACUUAAAUAUGAUUACACGCUAAACUUAAGCAUAUCAGUCAGCGUAGUAAAUAAAAACUAACAAUGAUUCCUAUAGUAUUGGCGAGAGAAGUAGGAUAUUGUAUAAAACUCGUAAAGUUUAAUCAAAAUAAUAAACAUAAUAUUAUUUAUUUAAUAUUAACAUGUUUAUUAUGAAUUGUAACUAUAUAAUAAAAUAUAUUAUUGACUAUUUAUAUUAAUAAAUAUUUCAUUUAAUAUUGGAAAAUAUAUUAUUUAUACCAGAGAAUGUGAUAGUCAUGUUUAUAAAUAUAUAUAAUAUAUAAUAUUUAAUAUAAUAUUGAGUCAUGCUAAUUGGGACUUUAGCAUAAAUAAAUAUUAUUGGUGGUAAUGUAUACACAUCAAAAGUUAAAUAAUUGUAAUUAUUAUAAUUGUAAUAGUAACCGAUAGUAUACAAGUACCGUAAGGGAAUAAUGAAAAGCACCUUAGUUACCACAUGAUAGAGGGAUUGAAAUAGAAAGUGAAAUUGCCAAUAUAAAAUAUACUUUACAUGUAAUAUAAUCAAACAGAAUGACUGUUAUUUUUUUAGACUAUAAUAUUAAUAUAUAAUAUUAUAUGUAUUUAAAUAUAAAUAUUUAUAUAUAUUUAUUAUAGUCAUAACUAUUUGACCCGUCUUGUAACACGGACCAAGGAGUUCAAUUCAAAUGCAAGUAUUAUUAUAUUAAUGAUAUAAUGAAUACAUAAUGAAAGUAAGUCAAAAUAAUAUUAAAUAUAAUCAUAUUAAGUAGUAAUAUUGAAUUUCAUUAUUACAUUUUAAUAUAGAUUUAUAGUAUUUUAAUUGAGACCCGAAAGAUGGUGAACUAUACAUGAACAUGGUGAAGCCAGGUGAAAACUUGGUGGAAGCUUGCGUUGUGCGAAACUGACGUGCAAAUCGUUACCGCCUGAUUUAUGUAUAGGGGCGAAAGACUCAUCGAACCAUCUAGUAGCUGGUUUCCUCUGAAAUUUCCCUUAGGAUCGCUCAAAUUAAUUAUUUAAAAAAGUAACACAAUGGGUAAAGCAAUGAGACGCGGUAUCUGUGGGUCUUUCACAUUACGACCUCGGCCUUCUCUCAAACUUUAAAUCUGUCCGUAUAUAUAAUAUAUUUAUACAAUAUUAUAUAUUAUAUUAAUAAUUUGUAGUGGGCCAUUUCUGGUAAGCAGAACUGGCGAUGAGGGAUACAACCUGACAUUAAGUUAAGCCGGGCUUAAUUAUAUCUGUUCUAACUUUCCGAUAAACGCGAAAGGGUGUUCUAUGUGGUGUAGAAAGUAGGACGGUGGCCAUGGAAGUCGGAAUCCGCAUAAGGAAUGUGUAAUAACUCACCUACAGAAUCACAUCGCCCCUAAAACGGAUGGCGCUCAAGCAGUUAUAUAAUAUAAUACCCAAGACUUAAUCAUUUAAUUAUAAUAUUAAAUGUGUAAGAGUAUUAAUAAAUAUAUAGAUAUCCAAUAUUUUGAAGAGGUAAGCAUUAAUGCACCUUUGAAUUAUCUAUAUUACAGAUCUUGGUACUAGUAGCAAGGAGUCUUAUUGAAACACAAGAAUAAAUAUCAACCAAAGAUGACCCAAGUGGAGAAAGGUUUCACAUUAUAGCUUAAUGCAAUGUGAGUUAGUCAUUCAUAAAAACAUUAAUAUAUUAAUGUUUAAAUGGGAAUUAUGUUAAUAUUCAUAAACCAAUAUAUAUAUAUAAAAAUGUAAAUGUAAUUAUAUAAGUAACUUAAUAUAAAAGUCCUAAUAAGGUUAUCUAACUUAUUUAAUAUCAACAAACAAAAUAAUUAUUGAACAGUAUUUACUAAAAGAUAUAAUUAUUUAUUAAUAAAAUAAUAUAUAUUAUAUUCAUAAAUGUAAUAUAAUGAUAUAUAUUAAUUGGUACUUUUAUAUGCUUUAACCGUGAAAAACUUAUAUAAUAUAAUAUAUAUUGUAUGUACUAAUAACCGCAUCAGGUCUCCAAGGUUUAUAACCUUUGGUCGUAUAAAUACACAGUGAGUAAGGGAAGUCGGCAAAUUUGGUCCGUACUUACGAUAUAAGGACUGGCUCCGAAGAU